UACGAAGGGGGCUAGCGUUGUUCGGAAUCACUGGGCGUAAAGCGCACGCAGGCGGAUCGAUAAGUCGGGGGUGAAAGCCCGGGGCUCAACCUCGGAAUUGCCUUCGAUACUGUCGGUCUCGAGUCCGGGAGAGGUGAGUGGAAUUCCUAGUGUAGAGGUGAAAUUCGUAGAUAUUAGGAAGAACACCAGUGGCGAAGGAGGCUCACGGGCCCGGUACUGACGAUCAGGUGCGAAAGCGUGGGGAGCAAACAGG
RNAcentral lists this ribosomal RNA (253 nucleotides) under uncultured bacterium. Its description in RNAcentral is "partial 16S ribosomal RNA". It matches the Rfam family "Bacterial small subunit ribosomal RNA", at positions 524 to 776 of the family's 1533-position model. The record is from RNAcentral.